GGCGACUUAGCCAAGUGGUAAGGCAUGGGACUGCAACUCCCCGAUGCGCCGGUUCAAAUCCGGCAGUCGCCU
Molecule: transfer RNA, 72 nt
Filed under: Eubacterium sp.
Lineage: Bacteria; Bacillati; Bacillota; Clostridia; Eubacteriales; Eubacteriaceae
Also listed under: 1 other name
Description: tRNA-Cys
Rfam family: tRNA
About the family: Transfer RNA (tRNA) molecules are approximately 80 nucleotides in length.
Source: RNAcentral